Molecule: long non-coding RNA, 393 nt
Organism: Brassica rapa (field mustard)
Lineage: Eukaryota; Viridiplantae; Streptophyta; Magnoliopsida; Brassicales; Brassicaceae
Source: RefSeq, a predicted model, not a curated record
UGAAAUAACUCGAGAUUAGAUUGUUGAUUUAAAUGUGUUUGCCCAACACAACAAAAGAUAGUGUUGUAUGUAUUCUUCUUGGUUACAUCAUGUAAAUUCAACUUUCCGACCUGGAGAAGCUAGCAAACUAACCUCAACGUGUUUUGGUCUCAAUAAAGUUAAAUGCAAAGAGAUGAAACUUGCAACUUCGUUUGAACUGUAAUAACAAAAUCUUAUAUCUAUCAUUCUAAUAGAUGUAAAACAAGAAAACAAAACCGAGAAAAGUCAAAUCCAAACAAGUAUAAAGCUCUUCGCGAUAACUCAAAACAGGCUUGUUCAAGAUUCCGAAAAGAAAUGUGAAGUCUCCCUGAGGCUUAUUUAUUCAUAUAGAGUGAGAAGAAAGUAUCCCUUAGA